UGCGCAGGCGGUUACUUAAGUCAGGUGUGAAAGCCCUGGGCUUAACCUAGGAACAGCGCUUGAGACUGGGUAGCUUGGAGUGUGGCAGAGGGAGGUGGAAUUCCACGUGUAGCAGUGAAAUGCGUAGAGAUGUGGAGGAACACCGAUGGCGAAGGCAGCCUCCUGGGCCAGCACUGACGCUCAUGCACGAAAGCGUGGGGAGCAAACAGGAUUAGAUACCCUGGUAGUCCACGCCCUAAACGAUGUCAACUGGUUGUUGGUGGGGUUAAACCCAUUAGUAACGAAGCUAACGCGUGAAGUUGACCGCCUGGGGAGUACGGCCGCAAGGUUAAA
This 333-nucleotide ribosomal RNA is filed under the name uncultured bacterium. Its description in RNAcentral is "bacterial SSU rRNA". It matches the Rfam family "Bacterial small subunit ribosomal RNA", at positions 568 to 898 of the family's 1533-position model. The record is from RNAcentral.